GGAAGUAAAAGUCUAACAAGGUUUCCGUAGGUGAACCUGCGGAAGGAUCAUUAAAGUUAUAGUCCCCCGGCCCUCUGGGCUGGGGUCUUCUAUACCACCCUUUGUUUAUUACACCUUUGUUGCUUUGGCAGGCCUGCCCUCGGGCUGCUGGCUCCGGCCGGCUCGCGUCUGCCAGAGGACCUAAACUCUGUUUGUAUAUGAAGUCUGAGUACUAUAUAAUAGUUAAAACUUUCAACAACGGAUCUCUUGGUUCUG
Molecule: unclassified non-coding RNA, 255 nt
Filed under: plant metagenome
Description: partial contains small subunit ribosomal RNA, internal transcribed spacer 1, and 5.8S ribosomal RNA
Rfam family: Eukaryotic small subunit ribosomal RNA (bases 1-53)
Source: RNAcentral